This 579-nucleotide ribosomal RNA is filed under the name uncultured bacterium. RNAcentral's name for it is "partial 16S ribosomal RNA". It matches the Rfam family "Bacterial small subunit ribosomal RNA", at positions 355 to 932 of the family's 1533-position model. The record is from RNAcentral.
UGGGGAAUUUUGGACAAUGGGCGAAAGCCUGAUCCAGCAAUGCCGCGUGUGUGAAGAAGGCCUUCGGGUUGUAAAGCACUUUUGUCCGGAAAGAAAUCCUUGGCUCUAAUACAGUCGGGGGAUGACGGUACCGGAAGAAUAAGCACCGGCUAACUACGUGCCAGCAGCCGCGGUAAUACGUAGGGUGCAAGCGUUAAUCGGAAUUACUGGGCGUAAAGCGUGCGCAGGCGGUUUGCUAAGACCGAUGUGAAAUCCCCGGGCUCAACCUGGGAACUGCAUUGGUGACUGGCAGGCUAGAGUAUGGCAGAGGGGGGUAGAAUUCCACGUGUAGCAGUGAAAUGCGUAGAGAUGUGGAGGAAUACCGAUGGCGAAGGCAGCCCCCUGGGCCAAUACUGACGCUCAUGCACGAAAGCGUGGGGAGCAAAACAGGAUUAGAUACCCUGGUAGUCCACGCCCUAAACGAUGUCAACUAGUUGUUGGGGAUUCAUUUCCUUAGUAACUAGCUAACGCGUGAAGUUGACCGCCUGGGGAGUACGGUCGCAAGAUUAAAACUUAAAUGAAUUGACGGGGUCAUAGCUG